CAUUGUUUAAGCGAUUAAAUCUCUCGAGUAGACGCUGUCUCUUUAGAUGCUAGGGCAAAAUAGCACUUUAUGGACUUCCACAGAGGACAUCAUGUUUAAUACGGUUCCGGAAAAAUCCAGUCAGAAGUUGUUCACGGAGUUUUCACAAUAACUGCUUCUCAUGAACCGAAGCUGGACGUCUCCUUCUGAAAGUUGGAUUACUGUGCACUUCUGGAUCACAGGCUAUUCGCAGCUGUACACAUCCUUCUACACUGUAUGCAAACAUGCAACAUCAUAACACACAGUACAAGGAGUCAGACUGGCAUAUGAGGAGCAAAGGAACCCAGACAGUAGCAUCGUUUCACAAUGUUUCCAUCACCAUCAGUGGAUGCCUUUGCCGUCCGUAGCCUGAGAUUUCAGAUUUGCAGCAAAAAAAUUUGAUUUUCUCAUUUAUUGGAAUGCUAUGCAGGUUGUACCUUGCAGCCAUCCAUUACAAUGUCACCAAGCCGUAACAAAAGCAGGAGAGGGAAAGUACAAGCCUAUGUUCCCAAAACACACAAAUGACAUACCUUAUGUGGAGGAUGUGAUCAGGCUUGUGUUUGCUGAGGUAUUUGAAGAUAAGCUGAAGGAAACCCCGAUUCCAAUGGACCUGGCAUCACAGUUUGAGAAACCUUCAAAGGAGGACGUGAUUGCAUGCCAUCUUCAG
Long non-coding RNA from Paramisgurnus dabryanus, 685 nucleotides. RefSeq lists it as uncharacterized. NCBI's taxonomy places the organism in Eukaryota, Metazoa, Chordata, Actinopteri, Cypriniformes, Cobitidae. The record is from RefSeq and is a predicted model, not a curated record.